GGAUGAGAACCGAGUCGUGCCCAAAACUACGUGGGGGGUGGGGGGAGGAUUUGAGUCUCCUUAAUUAUAAGGUCCAAAAGUUUUUAAGAUUAUAUAAUCCUUUUGAAUGAUGUGUUAGUGAUUUGGAUAUGAGUUAUUGAAUUACUGAUGGAUUGGAAUGAACAAUUUAAGUUUUUUGGUGGAGUUUUAUUUGUUAUCUCUAUGUUGUGUUUUCUUUUGGUUGGCUCACCCCAAC
This 235-nucleotide long non-coding RNA is filed under the name Vigna radiata. RNAcentral's name for it is "long non-coding RNA (VRAD_LNC013345)". The record is from RNAcentral. Lineage: Eukaryota; Viridiplantae; Streptophyta; Magnoliopsida; Fabales; Fabaceae.